UUCAGGGAAAAACUGUUUUAAACUUAAAAAUUAAAUUUAUUUUAAUUUGUGAAGAAACAAUUAUUUAAAUUAAGGACAAGAAGACCCUAAGAAUUUUAAAAAUAAUAAUUUUAAUAUUAAAAUUAUUAUUUUUUGGUUGGGGCAACUAAAAAAGAUUAUAAACUUUUUAUUUAAUAAAAUGAUCCAUUAUUAAUGAUAAUUUGAUAAAAAUACUCUAGGGAUAACAGCGUAAUAAUUUUUGAUAGAACAUAUAGACAAAAUAGUUUGCGACCUCGAUGUUGGAUUAGGAUACUUUUUUAAUGAAGAUGUUAAAAGAAGAAGUUUGUUCAACUUUUAAAGUCCU
This 343-nucleotide ribosomal RNA is filed under the name Dermacentor andersoni. RNAcentral describes it as "partial 16S ribosomal RNA". The stretch from base 220 to 343 matches the Rfam family "Bacterial large subunit ribosomal RNA", at positions 2473 to 2597 of the family's 2925-position model. The record is from RNAcentral. Lineage: Eukaryota; Metazoa; Arthropoda; Arachnida; Ixodida; Ixodidae.